CAGUUCAACCAGUCACCCUUGCACCAAGAAUACCCAAAGCCCUUGCCCCUCUUCAGGUUCUGCCUCAAACGCUUCGAUUUGCAACAUUUGUUCCAGUUUUGAACCGUUGAAUUUUCUCCAGCCUUUUGUUUUAUUGUAAAAAAGUUGCAAAACCCCAACAUCCCUUUCUUUAAUUCUUGGAAGAAAAGGAUGGUCAAGGCUAGAGAAGGAGAAAGAAGAUAACUUUUAUGAUUUCUUUGGUUUUCUUGCAAAAGGGGAGGUUGAUGCACUGAAACCCACAGUUUGGAAUUGGAACAAAAAGAGAGUUUAUAUGGAAGUAAUUUAGGGGUGCUAGUGAAAAGACCCAGAUUUUUUUGAUUGAGAUACAUCAGGUGAAAUGCUGAUAGAGACUUCAAUUUCUAGUUCAAUUGAAGCUAGCCUAUUUUAUGUAUCUGAACACAGGAAACAAGAUUCUUUAUGUGAUUGGAUGCCUGGAUAUGAAACUAGGCAGAUUUCUCCAAAAUGUGAUGUCCCUUCUCUGAGUGGAUGUAAAGAGGCUGAGUAUUCAUGCCCCCCCUUACCAAGAACUGGUUCUCAACAAUCAUCUGUGAGUGUAAUGUCUGAAGGUCCUGUACCUACUUUUGUUUACAGUAGGAGAAAAAAACGGCGGGUUAGCGGCAGCAGCGCUAGCGCAGCUGUUGCCAAUUUUUGUGCAGAGGCCCCUGUGAAUUCAAAGAGAAGUGGGGAUUGUCUUUCUGUUGUCAGUUCUGAUGCUCUUUCAAUGGCAGUCAUGGAGCAAAAUGGAGUUUCUCAAGUUGGACAUGGAAAUGUAGCCACUGGAGAUUCUUUGAUGCCUCUUGCUUGCAGUAGAGAGCCUCACAUUUCAAAGUAUGAAUUUCCUAAUGGAUUUUCUAGUGUGGACAACCAUGGUUCUGACGAUGUACAUAAAACUGUUAGGCAGAAAACCAUAGAUGUUGACAGUAUAAAUGAUAGUUGCUCAUCAUCGAAGUCAAAUAUGGAACUUGCAUUAGCUUCUAUUAAAGGUGAGAUGGAUGAAAAUGGUGAGUGCUGCUCCUCUAGUGUAAUAGCUGCUGAAGUUGUGAGGGAAGAUCUAUCUGAAAAAGAUAGGUGCCUCUCUAUACUUCAGAACCAGGGGAAUGUUGAGGAAGUUGGGCCUUCUAGGGCUCCUCUCAAUGAGGAAAUUGGGACUAGUGGUGCUAGCAGUUCUUCUAGGUUAUGCAAAAUUUGUGGUCGUUCAGAAACUGCACAAAAGAUGCUAAUUUGUGAUAAUUGUGAAGAAGCAUUUCAUGUACGUUGCUGCAAUCCCAGGAUAAAGAAAGUACCAGUUGAUGAGUGGUAUUGUUUUUCUUGUAUGAAAAAGAAGCGAAUAAUGGUCAAGGAUACAACUGCAAGAAAUUCUUCAAGUAUCACUGGUGGCAUGGGCAGAUGCAGAGGUGUAUCAUCUGAAGGGGAAUCCAGUCCAAUAGAAUUAAUGUUGAGAGAUGCUGAGCCUUAUAGAACUAGCGUUCGAAUUGGCAAGGGUUUUCAAGCAGACGUUCCUGACUGGUCAGGUCCAAUUGAUGACGAUGUUGAUACCAUUGGUGAACCACUGGAAUGGGAUCCUUUAGAAUUUACUGAUUUCAAUGAACUGAAUUGCAACAAGUCAUCUAAAGUAAGCUCAAUAGGGAACUGGCUUCAAUGUAGAGAGUUCAUAGAAGGCAUAGGAGGUAGUAAUGGAACCAUCUGUGGAAAGUGGCGCAGGGCUCCUCUUUCUGAAGUCCAAACUGAUGACUGGGAGUGCUUCUGCUCUGUCCAAUGGGAUCCAUCCCAUGCUGAUUGUUCUGUACCUCAGGAGCUGGAAACAGAUGAAGUUUUGAAGCAACUCAAGUAUAUUGAGAUGUUGAGACCUCGACUAUCAGCUAAACGGCGAAAAUCACAUCAGACCAUGAACCGCACGUUACAAGACCGUAAGGAUGAUAAGAGAAAUACACAGAACAAGCGGCUUGCUCGGCAGUGAUAAAUUUCCCAGAGUACCUGUACAGAUUCCCUUCACAAGAUCUUGUACAUCCAAAAGUCUUUCACGUUUGCUCUUUGCCAAAUUUGGUACUAGUUGUUGUGCUUCGCUUAUAAUAAAGACAUACUUGCUUGAUGCCCAAAGGAAAGCCCCCAAGUUAAGAGUAGAUAUGACCAGAAGGAAUCCGUAGUAGUAAUCUAAGUGAGAGUCAUUCAAGUUGUCUCCAAUCCAGCUCUUGUUCUCUCCCCUCCCUG
Molecule: RNA transcript, 2247 nt
Organism: Theobroma umbraticum
Lineage: Eukaryota; Viridiplantae; Streptophyta; Magnoliopsida; Malvales; Malvaceae
Source: RefSeq, a predicted model, not a curated record